CGGUGUCCGCGUGCAUGAGCGCGAGCGAGUGAACGCAUCAGCGCUGCUGAAGAAUGAGAGCGAUUCUAAAGAACGGAAGUGGAUCGACCAUUUUGAAACCCCGCACCGCUUUGCACAAUGGAUAAGGGCCAAACAAUAAAGCUCUUCAUAGGAAAUCUGGCCCUGGACACCACGCAAGAAGAACUGUCAGCCAUCUUUGAGGCAUACGGCCAGGUGGUUAGCUGCAGCGUGUUGAGACAGUUUGCUUUCGUACACCUGCAAGGAGAGGGUGCUGCUGAACGUGCCAUCCUGGAGCUCAAUGGCCGAGAGUUCAAAGGACGUAACCUUGUGGUCGAGGAGUCCCGAGGACGCCCACUCCAUUCGACAAAGGUGUUUGUGGGUAAUCUGAGUAGUAUAUGCACUACAGAAGAUCUUCGGGAGCUCUUUCAGACCUUUGGGAAAGUUUUGGAGUGCGAUAAGGUGAAAGGUUAUGCCUUUGUGCACAUGGAGAACAAGGAGGAUGCACUGCAGGCUAUUGAGGCUUUGCAUGGGACCUCCUUCAAAGGACGACCGCUCUCUGUGGAGCUGUCCAAAGUUCAGCCAAGUAAGCAGACUCCAACUGGGAAAAUCCCAUGCGUUAGCUGUGGAAAACAGGGCCAUUAUGCAGGUGAAUGCCCCGCUGGUAAGCCCACGCUGGAGCAGUACCAGAGCCAAGCGGCCGUGUUAGCUGCUGCUGCUGCUGCAGCUGCCGGCCUUCCACUGCAGGUUCAACAGAGUGUCCACAAUUCCGUAUACAACACCUCAACUUUUGACCCCACGUAUGCUGCUUUGACUGGACUUACAGCUGCUGGAGCAAGGGCAGAAGGAGGAACUGCAGUGGCUCCAGCUGUUUAUGGAGCACUAGCUAGUCAAGUCUAUGGAACAGUUUCCAAUCGGCUCUACAGUGGGACAGUUGCAAACCAGGCACUCAACUCUGGUGCUGCUGCAGCUGCCGCACAGAUGUAUGGCUCUGUUAACCCGGCUCUCUAUGGGCAAGUGACAAAUGGUGCAGUUGCAGCCGCAGCAGCAGCCGCUGGUGCAUACGGUCCACAAGUUUACGCACAUGCUUUAGCAAAUCCAGUGUUCCUAACUGCAGCGCACAGCAUGGAAGUACCGGGAGCUGCCGCUGCUGCUGUUAACCCAGCUUAUACAGUAGCUCCGGCUCUCUACAGCGCUACCCCAGCUUACGGGGCUUUUGGUGCAGCUAACUCAGCAGCUUUCUUUGAGGCAGCAAGGGCGCACUACUUUGCACAAGGCCAGCAAGUGCUAGCAGAACAGCAACAGGCUAGCUCAAAGUCUGGAGAAAGGGACAGGAGUCCGCUUAGAAGAUCUGCCCCACUGUUGUCUGACCCUAUUAUGAAACCAUUUAUGUACCAGAGGGCCAAGCGCAGAGCCUUAUUGCCUACGCCUGCGGGUCGAGAGGAAGCCGCUGCACAGGAGGAUGACCCUCUAGCCAGAUACUACGCAGAAUACUACCAGCAGUACCAGCAGCUGCAGCAGUAUCCACAGUACCAGUACUCGUAUCCAUCUCCCAACCCUAUUGCAGCAAUGUCUGCACUGCAGACUCUGCCUGGUGUGCCUACUCAGCCAGUGGCAACGCUCGACUCCCUCAGGCCAGUGCUGCCCGCCGCCCCCGUGUCUGCCGCUGCCGCCAUCGCCAUGGCAACAUCCCGCGUGUAUGAGCCACCGCCGAUUCCGCCGUCGCAUAAGGAGCCACUCCUCCGCCGCCCCGAACUCGCCCUACACACCCCUGAAACACCCUUUCGAUAGUGUGCUCCACAUCCUCUCUGCCUCUCCUUUCCUUGUGCUGCGUGUGUGUGUGUGUGUCAGAAAGAAACCACAGGUGUAUGUUUAUGAUGUGUGUGUGCUUGGGUUUAAGACGGUGGCUGUGUCGGUUUUAACUACAGACUGGAGUCUCUAACCUUGGUUCUGAUCUCAAACACACCCAGUACAGUCAGGGCUGAAAAGGGAAACUUCAUGCUCUCAUUCCUGCACACGUAACCAAUAUAACAUUGUUUGUUUAAAGAAACCUUCAAUCUAUGACCAAUUAGUUUUCAAGUGUAGAUUAGGCACUUGCCAUGAUGCAUUUUAACUUUUAUAUUCCUAAGUGUUUGUAGUCUAUGAAUGAAUACUGGACUUAAUACUAAAUAUUGCUUGAUUAUAGUUAUAUAAACUUUACCAGUUUGCGCAUUAAUACAGUUAUUAUGAAAUUAGAUUUCAAUGCAUUUCAAAAAUGUUUAAAAAAAUUGAAUGUAUAUAUAUUUACUCCAAAGGUGUGUGGAGUGUAGGACCAGGGUUGGACAGUAUUUUACGUCUUUGUGUGUUUCUUGUUUUUCUCUGGGACUGUGGUGUAGCGUGUAUGUUUCCCAUUGGUUGUCACGACAGGAACGCACACGUGUACUCCUGCACAGGGAAGCAACCUCGAUCCACACGCACAUACUUACACCUCAAAUGGGAAAAAGUUUAGUGAUGACCUUUAACCCCACCCUUCCAUCCCUGUCCACCCAUCCUGAAAGCUGAAAGACACUGUGACUUCUCUCCCCUACAACUUUAAUGUAGCUACUUCCAUAGAUAUGGUGAUGUAUGGGAAGCAACCAAUCAGAGGAAGGCGUAGCUAGUCAGCUUUUGCUGUAACCUGUUUUAUAGGAGCGUCUCUAAGCUCGCCAAUUUAACUGCCAUGAUGCAUUGUAGAAUCUGUUUUUGUAAAGUGUCUUUUAUUAAUGCUAUCAUGUUUUAUAAACAAUGAUAAGGGACUCAAGUAUCCAUUUAAUGAGACAUACUACUUUUGAUUGUUAAUUUUUGUUUACAUCUGCAAGAGAGAGAAUGUUUUUUCUCGUGGCUUAUUCAAAGUGAUUGUUCAUAGCCAAAAUUCUCUCAUUUUUUUUUCUAGAAAAACUGCCAAAAUCAUUAGUGGCCUAUUAUUCUUAUGCCUUAUUAACUAAAUUUUUGCUAUUUUUUAUCUGUAGUCUUAUAAAGUGAAACUGGAUUAAGACUACACAAAAGUGCUGUAUAUACUGUGGUACUGUGAUUUGGGAUUAAAUGAAUUGGGAGAUUCCUAUCAGUUUCUUUCAGUCUUCCUGCUCAUUUCGCUGCUGCAACUUCAUAGAUGACCCUCAAUGCAUCUCUCUUCAUAUCUCUUUGCAUCUGCCUCUCAUUUAGUGACAGCAUUUCAUUAAUUUACCAUGCCCCUGUUCGCACCCAUGUGCUGAGGAAGCCAGUGUGUGAAUGUGAUCUUGGAAAACGUUUUGCAUCAACAUUCAUGUUUGUAGUUUCUAUCAUGGUACCGUUCUUGCCGUCAGUGUUCUCAGAAGAGAAGACUUUAAAGAUCUGUACACGAUCUUUACGACUAUAACAAGCCUUCAAAUAAAGAGCCUGCCUGAUCAUUUAAAGAGGGAACUGAAGAGCUUUUGCUAGGAGCUUUAGCUGUUUUUUGCUUUUUGAUGUUUCAUAAUUGUUUUUCCUUUGUGAAACGACCAGACUCGUAUGAAUCGGAGCCCUGAACUAAAGGACUUGAGACUGAUCCCAAUCUAACCCCUCUAUGAAUGGGGUAAGUCUAGGAGCAACCCCACCUUUUACCCCCCAGCUGCACACACCAUACCAAACCCCUUUCCCAGGAGCAGCAAAAUCUUCAACCCAGCUUUUAGUCCCUAUGGAACUGUGGACACCUAAUGCAGAGCUGGUUUGGGGGGAAGAAAGUUAGCGUCGCGCAAUGCACGAGAAACUCUCUCUCGCUCCAUACAGGUAAAGGUACUGUGCCUCGUCCCCUUCUACCUGCCGUCCUUCCCAAUAGCGUUUGCCCCUGACCGUGUAUCCGCUCUAUUUCUCCUCACCACCACCCCACACUUCUUGUAAAUUCCUCACUUUUCCUCACCACUGCCAUAGCCAAUUGGUUCUCUAAACACCAGUGUUAUACUACUCUCUGUCACUGUCAAAAAUGGAGACGGUGGGCGUGACCUUUUAUUGCUUCUGUGAUUAGUGUGUCUCGUUAAUGUGUGGAUGCUUGGUGCUCUAAUAACUGAUCUCUUAGUUUAGUUUUGGAGAGACUGUGGUUAUAAUGUGUCCAUAAGCAAUUGAAUGUGUGGAAUUGCUGGUCAAUGAUUGAAAGACUGCAAUAAAAUGAGUGUUAAGUUAGCAAGGGUGGCUGAUAAAGGUGUGUGACAAAGGUGAUUGAUUGUGAGUGAGUAUCGUAGACCUCACCUACCUACCCCCUUCCCCCUCCUCCGUGUGCCUUUUUGUUUGUUUACAUGAUUUAACGCGUGUCCCCAGGCUUCCUGGAGUCUUCUCGCCGUUAACGCUCAGCUCACCGCCGCCCUCGUCGAAUCCCCAGUGAUAGUUGUUACAUUUGUUCAGUGUUAAUCGCAGCUUGAAUGCAUCCUUGAAAGCUCUGUGACUGGAUCCGAGACACUGUGCAAAAUUUUAUUCGCAAGACUCUCAUUUGGACUCAGUGA
Carassius carassius (crucian carp) is the source of this 4466-nucleotide RNA transcript. It is a transcript of the gene named RNA binding motif protein 14b, with no coding region annotated. The transcript has 5 exons. Lineage: Eukaryota; Metazoa; Chordata; Actinopteri; Cypriniformes; Cyprinidae. The record is from RefSeq and is a predicted model, not a curated record.